GGGGGAUUAGCUCAGUUGGCUAGAGCGCUUGAUUUGCAUUCAAGAGGUCAUCGGUUCGACUCCGAUAUUCUCCACAA
Molecule: transfer RNA, 77 nt
Filed under: Puteibacter caeruleilacunae
Lineage: Bacteria; Pseudomonadati; Bacteroidota; Bacteroidia; Marinilabiliales; Prolixibacteraceae
Description: Prolixibacteraceae bacterium JC036 tRNA-Ala
Rfam family: tRNA
About the family: Transfer RNA (tRNA) molecules are approximately 80 nucleotides in length. Their secondary structure includes four short double-helical elements and three loops (D, anti-codon, and T loops).
Source: RNAcentral